AUUGAACGCUGGCGGCAUGCCUUACACAUGCAAGUCGAACGGCAGCACGGGAGCAAUCCUGGUGGCGAGUGGCGAACGGGUGAGUAAUGUAUCGGAACGUGCCCAGUCGUGGGGGAUAACGCAGCGAAAGCUACGCUAAUACCGCAUACGAUCUAUGGAUGAAAGCGGGGGAUCGCAAGACCUCGCGCGAUUGGAGCGGCCGAUAUCAGAUUAGGUAGUUGGUGGGGUAAAGGCCCACCAAGCCUUCGAUCUGUAGCUGGUCUGAGAGGACGACCAGCCACACUGGAACUGAGACACGGUCCAGACUCCUACGGGAGGCAGCAGUGGGGAAUUUUGGACAAUGGGCGCAAGCCUGAUCCAGCAAUGCCGCGUGCAGGAUGAAGGCCUUCGGGUUGUAAACUGCUUUUGUACGGAGCGAAAAGGCUCUCUCUAAUACAGGGGGCUCAUGACGGUACCGUAAGAAUAAGCACCGGCUAACUACGUGCCAGCAGCCGCGGUAA
RNAcentral lists this ribosomal RNA (500 nucleotides) under uncultured bacterium. RNAcentral's name for it is "partial 16S ribosomal RNA". It matches the Rfam family "Bacterial small subunit ribosomal RNA", at positions 30 to 523 of the family's 1533-position model. The record is from RNAcentral.